This 106-nucleotide Y RNA is filed under the name Prolemur simus (greater bamboo lemur). RNAcentral describes it as "Y RNA (ENSPSMG00000020061.1)". It matches the Rfam family "Y RNA". Rfam says of the family: Y RNAs are components of the Ro ribonucleoprotein particle (Ro RNP), in association with Ro60 and La proteins. The Y RNAs and Ro60 and La proteins are well conserved, but the function of the Ro RNP is not known. The record is from Rfam by way of RNAcentral. Lineage: Eukaryota; Metazoa; Chordata; Mammalia; Primates; Lemuridae.
GGCUGGUCCAAAGGAGGUGAGUUAUUUUAAUUGUUCACAGUCAGUUACAGAUUGAACUCCUUGCUACUCUUUCCCACUUCUCACUACUGCACUUGACUAGUCUUAA